This 329-nucleotide small nucleolar RNA is filed under the name Procavia capensis (Cape rock hyrax). Lineage: Eukaryota; Metazoa; Chordata; Mammalia; Hyracoidea; Procaviidae. The record is from RNAcentral.
GCCACAUGAUGAUAUCAAGGCUGUUGUGAUUCAGUUGGUUUGGCUAAGUCCAGGGACCUUUGACCUUUUAUUAAGGUCUGUAAUCUUGGUAGGCGAUACAGAGUUGUGUGCGUCCGCUGUAAGGGCAGACCAACAGGCAGUUUGUCCUACUUUUGAAUUACCUCUUUAGCAGGGGUGAUUUUCCAUUUGCCAGAGAGAAACUUUGGUAACUGGAAGGGGAGAGUAGGGACAGGGUGUGUUCACGGUUCCAGGGUCACGGGUCCCAGAAGACUUAGCUUGUAUUGUGACCAAUGAGAGAUGAAACACAGAUCUUUGGUAAUCUGAUGGCU